UCUUCCUUUCAACUGGCCCCCUGGUGCUGGCAGGAACCCUGGAUGGAGGAAGGCUGGUGACUGGGUACAGAGAACCCUAUUGGGAGUUCUGGCUCCCCACCGUCCACCAUUACUCCUGCAGGUUCUAAGACCAGCACCCACCUUCUCUGGGCCUUUAUUUUUGCUUCCCUCUCAGUAAGAGGGAGGGAGGGUGAGGACUGAGGGAGGGAGGGUUAGCUGCUUUCUAGUCCUCCACUUAAAGGAUUUCUUAAAAUGCACGAGUCUGGCAGAGGUAAGCCACAAAGUCACUAACACUUUAGCAAGAAUGAGUUGUCUUGGGAGGCGAACAAUUUAGAAAAGGUGGAGGUGGUGGAAAGCAAAGUUAAGUGAGCAUGGUACUUGGAAAGUAACUCAGAGAUGACCCUACAUUUUUGAAUUCUGUGUUGAAGGCUGGAAGGCGUGGAUCCCUGGGAAGAGAUGGGAAGCCAGAGAUCUUUCAGUUCCCCUAGCACCCCGGAGUCCCAAAGACACUGCUCUGUCCCAGUACUUAAGCACAAUUCUACUGACUAUCUCAUCCAACAUACCCCAGACCCCCAACAUCAUGUCCCCAACACAGUAACAUUUACACUGUCAUCUCCACUCUCCGCAUUUUAUUUAGUCUUCUCUGGCCUGCAGUUCCCGCGUGCAAAGGGCCUUCCUCCAUGUCGUCGUCUGGCUUCAGAAAAUUCCCCAUCCUUCAAAAGCCCUGAUGAAGCGGCCCCCAAAAGGGCCAGCUCAGAUCCCACCCCAGGGACCAGGAAAUCAGACUCCUCUCCCUGAGCCCCUUAAAAACUUUAUCCACACCUUUUCCCCAGCACUUGGCAUAUCCUAUCUUGGAUCAGGUUUGGCUCCUCGGUUGACUGAGCGCUCCCUGAGAGCAGGAACUGGGCCUCCUCCGCCUCUCUAACCCAACCACCCAGCAGGGAGCCUGGCACACAGUGGGUGCUGGAGAAAUGCUGGAAGAAGGGGAACGCGGAGUCGGGAGCCAUCUAUCUCAAUUACGGCUGGGCCUCUGCUUCUUUGCCCAUCUAAGAACACAACUCUAGAGAACUGGGCCAUCAGACACUUUUCUUCGGGGAAUAACACUGGAUUAAAAGGCAGUUCAAGGGGCCGGCCCCGUGGCCGAGAGAUUAAGUUCACGCACUCCACUUCGGCAGCCCAGAGUUUCGCCGGUUUGGAUCCUGGGUGUGGACAUGGCACCGCUCAUCAAGCCAUGCUGAGGGGGCACCCCGCAUGCCACAACUAGAAGGACCCACAACUAAAAAUACACAACUAUGUACCGGGGGAUUUUGGGAGAAAAAUGAAAAAUAAAAUAAAAUAAAAUAAAGACAGUUCAAGGCAUGCCAAGAGGAAUUGUGAUUAUCUGCUCUAGGAGCAUUGUCCACACCAUGAAUUAUUAUGCACCCUGGACCUGUCUCUUUCGAGUCACUGACAAGUGGAGGAGACACCUAGUUUAAAACUCUAGCUUAGCCUCUGACCAGUGAAAACAUGUAGACCAUGUCGAAUUAGCAACAAAUACCUCCCCCUCUCCACUGGGAGAGGACUGGGUGGCAGAAGCAGAAGUUUCCUUUCAACACACCACAGUUCCCACCCCAGAGAAAUGACAACAGCAGACGUUGGGCCAGGGGGAUAUAUAUUCAGACACACCGCCCCUCCAGCACAGGUUGUUAGAGAAGAGUUCUGCAGAAACACAGGACUGUCAGCAGAACCUGGGGGAACCCUCUACCCUGUCUAGGGACCUAUACCAAGCCUGGAAUGACUUCUUCUCAUUUGGAGAUGAGGGAAG
This 1804-nucleotide long non-coding RNA is filed under the name Equus caballus (horse). RNAcentral's name for it is "lncRNA (ENSECAG00000038676.3)". Lineage: Eukaryota; Metazoa; Chordata; Mammalia; Perissodactyla; Equidae. The record is from RNAcentral.